UAUUUUAAUUGGGGAAGCCCUUAAAAUAUUGGGACAUAUAAAAAAAAGACAAAUCUGUUCCACAGAGUAGCUGUUGACAUUAUAGUUGCGCAGGCACUUUGUUGACUCUAGAGAACCUUGGGCCAAUCGCACAUCCCCGUGGCAACGACUUUGCAUGCGGAUGCCAGUUUCUGUGCCUACUAUGGUGACCACGGGUAACGGGGAAUCAGGGUUCCAUUCUGUACAGGGACCCUGAGAAAUGGCUACCACAUGCAAGGAAGGCAGCAGGCGCACAAAUGACCCACUCCCGACACGGGAAGGUAGUGACGACAAAAAACAAUACAAGACUCUUUAGAUGUAAUUGUAAUGAGUCCACUUGAAAUCCUUUAACUCUGAUCAAUUGGAGGGAAGUCUGGUGCAGAGCCACUGACCCAUGCGUGCUGCAGCUGAAACUCCACUA
Pelobates cultripes (western spadefoot toad) is the source of this 439-nucleotide non-coding RNA. NCBI's taxonomy places the organism in Eukaryota, Metazoa, Chordata, Amphibia, Anura, Pelobatidae. The record is from the annotation of a GenBank genome assembly.